CGCAAGUUUCUCACCUCUUCGACAAAAAUCGACAUUUUACGUUUAUGUGGUUCGAAUUGCAUGAUUACUCAUCUCAUCGUUGUGUCAAUCAACCGAUCCCACUGAUUAUUCGUUGACUAAAGGAACAAGUAAGAAGGAAAGGACGCGAUUAGCGUCGUCGCGCUGUCUGCUUGUUACCGGUAGUUCGCUUCCAUCUCUGAGCACCCCGCUUAUUCCUCCCCAUCUUACACUCACUAGAUAUCCCCUUUUUUCUCGUUUAUUCUCUGUCUCUAUUUUUCUUUUUUUCUCCAUUUCCUUGUAUAAAAACGGCUAUCAGGCCUCUAUUUGUCCAACUCAUUUUCUGCUUCUCGCUUUUUUUUUACAACUUUCCUCGCUCGCGUCAUUGUCACGUAGUUCAGAAAAGACGCGAAAGAAAUCGAAUUGUCGAUGAGUAUACGAAUUUGUAGAAUAGAAACGAUCCAUUAUGUGCUUUUAUUUUUGCUCAUUCUUAGUCGGGACGACGCAAUGUUGUAUUUGAAGUGAGAAAUGAUUGUGUUUUAAGCAAGAGAAAGCAAAGAAAAAGACAAAAUAGGAAGAUAAAAGAAGAAAGAGGAAGAAAGAAACGAAGGAAAGAAGAGAAAAUGAUUGCAAGUGAAGCGCUAUGAAAUCCGAUCUGUCGAUAGGACAAUCCCAUGUUAAAGUCGAAUCAUUAUGGAUCGAAAUUUGUUGGGUGUUCGGCUUCUUCGUCGACGAUCAUCAAUUUCGACAUCGAUAUUGGCACCGGCGUCGGCAUCGUAUCUCCAUCCUCGUCGUCUCGUCGUCGUUGCUGCCGCUGCUACUGCUGUCGCUGCCAU
Apis laboriosa (Himalayan honeybee) is the source of this 833-nucleotide long non-coding RNA. RefSeq lists it as uncharacterized. The transcript is spliced from 3 exons. NCBI's taxonomy places the organism in Eukaryota, Metazoa, Arthropoda, Insecta, Hymenoptera, Apidae. The record is from RefSeq and is a predicted model, not a curated record.